Molecule: small RNA, 866 nt
Filed under: Pongo abelii (Sumatran orangutan)
Lineage: Eukaryota; Metazoa; Chordata; Mammalia; Primates; Hominidae
Description: retained intron
Source: RNAcentral
UCUGGUGGGCAGAGGCGGCUACCGGCCUAGUGACCUCUGUGUUUCUGCCCCGACAGGCAGUGGGAAGACACUGGCCUUUGUCAUCCCUGUGGUGCAGGCCCUGCUGUCAAGAGUGGUCUGCCACAUCCGUGCCCUGGUCGUGCUGCCCACCAAGGAGCUGGCCCAGCAGGUCAGCAAAGUUUUCAACAUCUACACAGAUGCCACACCUCUGAGAGUCUCUCUGGUUACGGGACAGAAGUCUCUGGCCAAGGAGCAGGAGAGCCUCGUCCAGAAAACGUAGGUUGUGUCAGGGUGCGGGUCUUUCAGGGGGUCCCUGCUCAGCCCUGCAGGUGGCCUGAGGCACCGUGGGAGCAGAGGAGGGGCCACCAUCUUUAACUGCCUGUUCCCAUGAAGAGGAGGAGCUCCCACCCGCCCCCUUCCCAUGUAGGGUGGAGUCGGGGCUGUGGGGUGAGGCAGCGUCUUGCUGUCCGGAAGCCCCUGAGAAAGCUUCCUUCUCUUGAGCCGCUCUUUGGUCUGUAGAGCUGAUGGGUACCGCUGCUUGGCUGACAUCGUGGUAGCCACCCCCGGCCGCCUGGUGGACCACAUCGACCAGACCCCAGGAUUCAGCCUCCAGCAGCUCCGCUUCCUGGUAGGUCCCCGCCCCAGGGGCCUGGGCUUUGAGCUCAGGGCCGCGCCACCCAGCCCCGGGCUCCCUGUGUCCUGCAGGUCAUCGACGAGGCUGACCGGAUGAUUGACAGCAUGCAUCAGUCCUGGCUGCCGCGGGUGGUGGCGGCCGCCUUCCAGAGCGAGGACCCCGCGGACCCCUGUGCCCUGUUCCAGCGAAGACAGGCCCAGGCUGUGACAGCUGCCAGCACCUGCUGUCCCCA